RNAcentral lists this transfer RNA (102 nucleotides) under Pseudogymnoascus sp. WSF 3629. It matches the Rfam family "tRNA". From Rfam's summary of the family: Transfer RNA (tRNA) molecules are approximately 80 nucleotides in length. Their secondary structure includes four short double-helical elements and three loops (D, anti-codon, and T loops). Further hydrogen bonds mediate the characteristic L-shaped molecular structure. tRNAs have two regions of fundamental functional importance: the anti-codon, which is responsible for specific mRNA codon recognition, and the 3' end, to which the tRNAs corresponding amino acid is attached (by aminoacyl-tRNA synthetases). tRNAs cope with the degeneracy of the genetic code in two manners: having more than one tRNA (with a specific anti-codon) for a particular amino acid; and 'wobble' base-pairing, i.e. permitting non-standard base-pairing at the 3rd anti-codon position. Lineage: Eukaryota; Fungi; Ascomycota; Leotiomycetes; Thelebolales; Thelebolaceae. The record is from Rfam by way of RNAcentral.
GGUGGAAUGGUGUAAUGGUAGCACGUGACGUUGUGGUAUAACGCUCACACCGUUGUAACAUACAAUCCCGUUUCAAUCUGGGUUCGAUUCCCAGUUCCGCCA